GUACUGCGAGUGAAGCGGGAAAAGCUCAAAUUUAAAAUCUGGUGGUCUCUGGCCAUCCGAGUUGUAAUCUAGAGAAGUGUUACCCGCGUCGGACCGUGUAUAAGUCUCCUGGAAUGGAGCGUCAUAGAGGGUGAGAAUCCCGUCUUUGACACGGACUACCGAGGCUUUGUGGUAUGCUCUCAAAGAGUCGAGUUGUUUGGGAAUGCAGCUCAAAAUGGGUGGUAAAUUCCAUCUAAAGCUAAAUAUUGGCGAGAGACCGAUAGCGAACAAGUACCGUGAGGGAAAGAUGAAAAGAACUUUGGAAAGAGAGUUAAACAGUACGUGAAAUUGCUGAAAGGGAAACGCUUGAAGUCAGUCGCGUUGGCCGGGAAUCAGCCUUGCUUUUGCUUGGUGUACUUUCUGGUUGACGGGCCAGCAUCAGUUUUGACNGGUGGAAAAAGUUCAGGGGAAUGUGGCAUCUUCGGGUGUGUUAUAGCCCUUGUUCGUAUACAUCGGUUGGGACUGAGGAACUCAGCACGCCGCAAGGCCGGGUCUUUGACCACGUUCGUGCUUAGGAUGCUGGCAUAAUGGCUUUAAUCGACCCGUCUUGAAACACGGACCAAGGAGUCUAACAUGCCUGCGAGUGUUUGGGUGGAAAACCCGAGCGCGUAAUGAAAGUGAAAGUUGAGAUCCUUGUCAUGGGGAGCAUCGACGCCCGGACCUGACGUUUUCUGACGGCCCUGCGGUAGAGCAUGUAUGUUGGGACCCGAAAGAUGGUGAACUAUGCCUGAAUAGGGUGAAGCCAGAGGAAACUCUGGUGGAGGCUCGUAGCGAUUCUGACGUGCAAAUCGAUCGUCAAAUUUGGGUAUAGGGGCGAAAGCCUAAUCGUACC
RNAcentral lists this ribosomal RNA (871 nucleotides) under Candolleomyces candolleanus. RNAcentral describes it as "eukaryotic LSU rRNA". It matches the Rfam family "Eukaryotic large subunit ribosomal RNA", at positions 83 to 941 of the family's 3401-position model. Lineage: Eukaryota; Fungi; Basidiomycota; Agaricomycetes; Agaricales; Psathyrellaceae. The record is from RNAcentral.